RNAcentral lists this ribosomal RNA (696 nucleotides) under uncultured Lachnospiraceae bacterium. Its description in RNAcentral is "bacterial SSU rRNA". It matches the Rfam family "Bacterial small subunit ribosomal RNA", at positions 67 to 776 of the family's 1533-position model. The record is from RNAcentral. Lineage: Bacteria; Bacillati; Bacillota; Clostridia; Lachnospirales; Lachnospiraceae.
CGGAAUUCUUCGGAAGGAAGAUAAAGUGACUGAGCGGCGGACGGGUGAGUAACGCGUGGGUAACCUGCCUCAUACAGGGGGAUAACAGUUAGAAAUGGCUGCUAAUACCGCAUAAGCGCACAGGACCGCAUGGUCUGGUGUGAAAAACUCCGGUGGUAUGGGAUGGACCCGCGUUGGAUUAGCUAGUUGGUGGGGUAACGGCCUACCAAGGCGACGAUCCAUAGCCGGCCUGAGAGGGUGGACGGCCACAUUGGGACUGAGACACGGCCCAGACUACUACGGGAGGCAGCAGUAGGGAAUAUUGCACAAUGGGGGAAACCCUGAUGCAGCGACGCCGCGUGAAGGAAGAAGUAUCUCGGUAUGUAAACUUCUAUCAGCAGGGAAGACAAUGACGGUACCUGACUAAGAAGCCCCGGCUAACUACGUGCCAGCAGCCGCGGUAAUACGUAGGGGGCAAGCGUUAUCCGGAUUUACUGGGUGUAAAGGGAGCGUAGACGGACGGGCAAGUCUGAAGUGAAAGGCAGGGGCUCAACCCCUGGACUGCUUUGGAAACUGUCCAUCUAGAGUGCCGGAGAGGUAAGCGGAAUUCCUAGUGUAGCGGUGAAAUGCGUAGAUAUUAGGAGGAACACCAGUGGCGAAGGCGGCUUACUGGACGGUAACUGACGUUGAGGCUCGAAAGCGUGGGGAGCAAACAGG